GAACCUGCCCUAUACUCAGGGAUAACAUGCCGAAAGGUGUGCUAAUACCGGAUAGUCCUGCAAAGGUAAAGCUUUCGCGGUAUAGGAGGGUCCUGCGGCCUAUCAGUUUGUUGGUAAGGUAACGGCUUACCAAGACUAUGACGGGUAGCUGAUCUGAGAGGAUGAUCAGCCAGAAUGGGACUGAGACACGGCCCAUACUCCUACGGGAGGCAGCAGUGAGGAAUCUUCCGCAAUGGGGGCAACCCUGACGGAGCGACACCGCGUGAAGGAUGACGAUCUUUCUGAUUGUAAACUUCUGUUCUGAGGGACGAAAUUUUUGACGGUACCUCAGGAGAAAGCACCGGCUAAAUCCGUGCCAGCAGCCGCGGUAAUACGGAUGGUGCAAGCGUUACUCGGAAUUACUGGGCGUAAAGCGUCCGCAGGCUUCUAGGUUAGUCUGAUGUUAAAGUGCAGAGCUCAACUCUGUGAUGUGUCGGAAACUACCUGGAUAGAGUCAUACAGAGGCAACUGGAAUUACGUGUGUAGGGGUAAAAUCCGUUGAUCCACGUAGGAACGCCCAAAGUGAAAACAGGUUGCUGGGUAUGUACUGACGCUCAGGGACCAAAGCGUGGGGGAGCGAAGGGAUAGAUACCCCCGUAGU
RNAcentral lists this ribosomal RNA (640 nucleotides) under uncultured bacterium. RNAcentral describes it as "bacterial SSU rRNA". It matches the Rfam family "Bacterial small subunit ribosomal RNA", at positions 122 to 794 of the family's 1533-position model. The record is from RNAcentral.